Molecule: transfer RNA, 75 nt
Filed under: Candidatus Omnitrophota bacterium
Lineage: Bacteria; Pseudomonadati; Candidatus Omnitrophota
Description: tRNA-Ile
Rfam family: tRNA
About the family: Transfer RNA (tRNA) molecules are approximately 80 nucleotides in length. Their secondary structure includes four short double-helical elements and three loops (D, anti-codon, and T loops).
Source: RNAcentral
GCCGAUGUCGGACACUGGUUAGUCCCUCGUUCUGAUGAAACGAUGAAGGUGGUUCGAUUCCACCCAUCGGUACCA